GCCGCGUGCGGGAUGANCGCUUCGGGUAGUAAACCGCUUUUACCAGGAAGGAAAAUGACAGUACCUGGAGAAUAAGGUGCAGCCAACUACGUGCCAGCAGCCGCGGUGACACGUAGGCACCAAGCGUUGUCCGGAUUUAUUGGGCGUAAAGAGCUCGUAGGCGGUUCAGUAAGUCGGGUGUGAAAACUCUGGGCUUAACCCAGAGACGCCACCCGAUACUGCUGUGACUUGAGUCCGGUAGGGGAGUGGGGAAUUCCUGGUGUAGCGGUGAAAUGCGCAGAUAUCAGGAGGAACACCAAUGGCGAAGGCACCACUCUGGGCCGAGACUGACGCUGAGGAGCGAAAGCGUGGGUAGCAAACAGGAUUAGAUACCCUGGUAGUCCACGCCGUAAACGGUGGGCACUAGAUGUGGGUUCCAACCAACGGAAUCCGCGUCGUCGCUAACGCAUUAAGUGCCCUGCCUGGGGAGUACGGCCGCAAGGUUAAAACUCAAAGGAAUUGACGGGGGCCCGCACAAGCAGCGGAGCGUGUUGCUUAAUUCGAUGCUACGCGAAGAACCUUACCUGGGUUUGACAUGUACGGCAAAGCCACAGAGAUGUGGUGUCCUUCGGGGUCGUACACAGGUGGUGCAUGCCUGUCGCAGGUCGUGUCGGGAGAUGUUGGGUUAGUUCCGCAACGAGCGCAACCUUGUCUAUUUGCCGGGGGUAUGCCGGGACUCUAAAGAUGCGGGGUCACUUCG
Molecule: ribosomal RNA, 739 nt
Filed under: uncultured bacterium
Lineage: Bacteria
Description: bacterial SSU rRNA
Rfam family: Bacterial small subunit ribosomal RNA
Source: RNAcentral